This 254-nucleotide ribosomal RNA is filed under the name uncultured bacterium. Its description in RNAcentral is "partial 16S ribosomal RNA". It matches the Rfam family "Bacterial small subunit ribosomal RNA", at positions 524 to 776 of the family's 1533-position model. The record is from RNAcentral.
CACGUAGGGUGCGAGCGUUGUCCGGAAUUAUUGGGCGUAAAGAGCUCGUAGGCGGUGUGUCGCGUCGGCCGUGAAAACUUGCAGCUUAACUGUGGGCGUGCGGUCGAUACGGGCAUCACUGGAGUUCGGCAGGGGAGACUGGAAUUCCUGGUGUAGCGGUGAAAUGCGUAGAUAUCGGGAGGAACACCUGAGGCGAAGGCGGGCUACUGGGCCGAUACUGACGCUGAUGCGCGAAAGCCAGGGGAGCAAACGGG